Molecule: small RNA, 29 nt
Filed under: Bombyx mori (domestic silkworm)
Lineage: Eukaryota; Metazoa; Arthropoda; Insecta; Lepidoptera; Bombycidae
Description: ovarian small RNA-18803
Source: RNAcentral
UAACGACUCUGCUGAGUCGGUGACAUCGA